This 834-nucleotide ribosomal RNA is filed under the name Escherichia coli. RNAcentral describes it as "partial 23S ribosomal RNA". It matches the Rfam family "Bacterial large subunit ribosomal RNA", at positions 2027 to 2855 of the family's 2925-position model. The record is from RNAcentral. Lineage: Bacteria; Pseudomonadati; Pseudomonadota; Gammaproteobacteria; Enterobacterales; Enterobacteriaceae.
CGAGACUCAGUGAAAUUGAACUCGCUGUGAAGAUGCAGUGUACCCGCGGCAAGACGGAAAGACCCCGUGAACCUUUACUAUAGCUUGACACUGAACAUUGAGCCUUGAUGUGUAGGAUAGGUGGGAGGCUUUGAAGUGUGGACGCCAGUCUGCAUGGAGCCGACCUUGAAAUACCACCCUUUAAUGUUUGAUGUUCUAACGUUGGCCCGUAAUCCGGGUUGCGGACAGUGUCUGGUGGGUAGUUUGACUGGGGCGGUCUCCUCCUAAAGAGUAACGGAGGAGCACGAAGGUUGGCUAAUCCUGGUCGGACAUCAGGAGGUUAGUGCAAUGGCAUAAGCCAGCUUGACUGCGAGCGUGACGGCGCGAGCAGGUGCGAAAGCAGGUCAUAGUGAUCCGGUGGUUCUGAAUGGAAGGGCCAUCGCUCAACGGAUAAAAGGUACUCCGGGGAUAACAGGCUGAUACCGCCCAAGAGUUCAUAUCGACGGCGGUGUUUGGCACCUCGAUGUCGGCUCAUCACAUCCUGGGGCUGAAGUAGGUCCCAAGGGUAUGGCUGUUCGCCAUUUAAAGUGGUACGCGAGCUGGGUUUAGAACGUCGUGAGACAGUUCGGUCCCUAUCUGCCGUGGGCGCUGGAGAACUGAGGGGGGCUGCUCCUAGUACGAGAGGACCGGAGUGGACGCAUCACUGGUGUUCGGGUUGUCAUGCCAAUGGCACUGCCCGGUAGCUAAAUGCGGAAGAGAUAAGUGCUGAAAGCAUCUAAGCACGAAACUUGCCCCGAGAUGAGUUCUCCCUGAGACUUAGAGUCUCCUGAAGGAACGUUGAAGACGACGACGUUG